RNAcentral lists this ribosomal RNA (657 nucleotides) under Lactobacillus sp. JCM 1179. RNAcentral's name for it is "bacterial SSU rRNA". It matches the Rfam family "Bacterial small subunit ribosomal RNA", at positions 57 to 676 of the family's 1533-position model. The record is from RNAcentral. Lineage: Bacteria; Bacillati; Bacillota; Bacilli; Lactobacillales; Lactobacillaceae.
GCAGUCGAACGCACUCUCGUUAGAUUGAAGAAGCUUGCUUCUGAUUGAUAACAUUUGAGUGAGUGGCGGACGGGUGAGUAACACGUGGGUAACCUGCCCUAAAGUGGGGGAUAACAUUUGGAAACAGAUGCUAAUACCGCAUAAAACCUAGCACCGCAUGGUGCAAGGUUGAAAGAUGGUUUCGGCUAUCACUUUAGGAUGGACCCGCGGUGCAUUAGUUAGUUGGUGAGGUAAAGGCUCACCAAGACCGUGAUGCAUAGCCGACCUGAGAGGGUAAUCGGCCACACUGGGACUGAGACACGGCCCAGACUCCUACGGGAGGCAGCAGUAGGGAAUCUUCCACAAUGGACGAAAGUCUGAUGGAGCAACGCCGCGUGAGUGAAGAAGGUUUUCGGAUCGUAAAACUCUGUUGUUGGAGAAGAACGUAUUUGAUAGUAACUGAUCAGGUAGUGACGGUAUCCAACCAGAAAGCCACGGCUAACUACGUGCCAGCAGCCGCGGUAAUACGUAGGUGGCAAGCGUUGUCCGGAUUUAUUGGGCGUAAAGCGAGCGCAGGCGGUUUCUUAAGUCUGAUGUGAAAGCCUUCGGCUCAACCGAAGAAGUGCAUCGGAAACUGGGAAACUUGAGUGCAGAAGAGGACAGUGGAACUCCAUGUGU